UUCGUUCUGCAGACUCCUACGGAUUGUGGUUGCCUUUCUGCUAGCUUUCUGGUCGACUUUUCCGAUCCAGGUGGAGGAUGAAUCUCACUCUGACUUGGAAGAAAUUUUGACUGAUCAGAACAGGACAACAAGUGAGACAUGGGCCUCUAGCCUCAUCAGCACAAGUAGAGAUAUUUGUACUUGAUGACGAAAAUUGGAUAAUUGAAGAACUAAACAAUCAUAUUAUGAUGCAAACAAGAGGUGGAACAUCAAGG
This is a long non-coding RNA of Solanum stenotomum, 254 nucleotides long. RefSeq lists it as uncharacterized. The record is from RefSeq and is a predicted model, not a curated record. Lineage: Eukaryota; Viridiplantae; Streptophyta; Magnoliopsida; Solanales; Solanaceae. The transcript has 3 exons.